GUUAGCGGCGGACGGGUGAGUAACACGUGGGUAACCUGCCUGUAAGACUGGGAUAACUCCGGGAAACCGGAGCUAAUACCGGAUAGUUCCUUGAACCGCAUGGUUCAAGGAUGAAAGACGGUUUCGGCUGUCACUUACAGAUGGACCCGCGGCGCAUUAGCUAGUUGGUGGGGUAAUGGCUCACCAAGGCGACGAUGCGUAGCCGACCUGAGAGGGUGAUCGGCCACACUGGGACUGAGACACGGCCCAGACUCCUACGGGAGGCAGCAGUAGGGAAUCUUCCGCAAUGGACGAAAGUCUGACGGAGCAACGCCGCGUGAGUGAUGAAGGUUUUCGGAUCGUAAAGCUCUGUUGUUAGGGAAGAACAAGUGCGAGAGUAACUGCUCGCACCUUGACGGUACCUAACCAGAAAGCCACGGCUAACUACGUGCCAGCAGCCGCGGUAAUACGUAGGUGGCAAGCGUUGUCCGGAAUUAUUGGGCGUAAAGGGCUCGCAGGCGGUUUCUUAAGUCUGAUGUGAAAGCCCCCGGCUCAACCGGGGAGGGUCAUU
RNAcentral lists this ribosomal RNA (550 nucleotides) under Bacillus pumilus. RNAcentral describes it as "bacterial SSU rRNA". It matches the Rfam family "Bacterial small subunit ribosomal RNA", at positions 91 to 627 of the family's 1533-position model. Lineage: Bacteria; Bacillati; Bacillota; Bacilli; Caryophanales; Bacillaceae. The record is from RNAcentral.